This is a long non-coding RNA of Balaenoptera acutorostrata (minke whale), 6029 nucleotides long. RefSeq lists it as uncharacterized. NCBI's taxonomy places the organism in Eukaryota, Metazoa, Chordata, Mammalia, Artiodactyla, Balaenopteridae. The transcript is spliced from 4 exons. The record is from RefSeq and is a predicted model, not a curated record.
UGUCGGCCUGGGGGCGGGCCCGCGCUCCGCGCCUGCGUAGCGAGCGCCGCCUGCCCCGGCGGGCUUUCCCCUGCUCUCCGCCCCACUUCUCGGCUGGCUCCCGGCGGGCCCCGCGCGGGGUGGGAGCACGAGACCCGGCGGGCGGGCCUGGAGGAGGGAUGGGAAUCGGCCGGGGCGGAGCGCGCGUGCGCGGGAGGGGCGGGGCGCACGUGUGAGGGAGUGGGCGGGGCGCCAAAGCUCCGCCCGCCGCGCGUGCCGCCCUUUUCAGGACCUGGGUGCGGGUGAACCUGUGGAUCGUGUUUCCCGGUCUCAGUUUCCCUUCUACAGCAGCGUGCCAGACGCUUUCCCCCAUCCUGGGCCGGAAGGCUGGGAUGCGCCCCACUGUCACCUUCCCCAGGGGCAAAGGCUGGGGGUCCCUUCCCCGGAGAGUGACCGGGGGGGGGCCGGGGUCCCUGCCCGUGGGGUGAAGGUGUGGGGCCGGGAGGUUUCUUCCCCGGGGUAGAAGGCAGGGGGCCGGGCCGGGGUCUUUGCUCGCGGAGUGAAGACGGAGGGUGGGGGGUGGUCUCUUCCCCGGGGGCGAAUGCGGGGGACCAGGGUCACAGCCCAGGAGGUGAAGGUGGGCGCCGUGCUCCGCGCGUGGGGCGCAGUAGUAACUGCGGGUAACGAGCGCUUCCGGCGCGUCAGCCGCUAAAUAUAAGGUGCUGAGCGCAUCUUCUCUUUUAAUCCGCCCCUCCCCCCAAACCUGCGGUGGCGUUCCGCGUCCCUUAAAAUAAAUCCCAGCCGGCCACCAGGGCUUCCGAGACCCGCCUGACCUGGCCUGCUUGCCGCUUUGCCCGGCUCCGGCUCGGAGGCCUCGCUGUGGAGAAACGGGCCGCCCCCUCCUGUUCGCCAGACCCCCUUCUUGCCUGCACAGCCCUUUGCUCGAUUGGUGAUUAUGUCUGCGCUUGCUUUCUGCCUGUCUCUCCCUCUUGACCUCAGAUCAGCGACUAGUAUUAGGUCCUGAAAAAAACUUGGUGAGUGGUGACCAGCAUUUUAUAAAAAUGAAACAAUGAGAGAGGGCAUCUCACAGUGAGUGCUCUUGCUCUGUGAAGCAUUUAUUUCACUUACACGUAUUUAAGUGGGUACUUGAUCAAGAUGCAAAGUGUAUUUCUUACAAUAAGUGCCAGACGAAAAAUGAAAGCCGCUGCAGAGAACACCUUACGGCAACCUGCACAUAGGCUCUGACUCCCCAUUUUACAGAGGAAACUGAGACCCAGCACAGGACAGCUGCCCCGCCUGCCCUUUGUGAAUCCCCCCAUUCCACCAGCACCCGGCAACAGUAAGAGAACAGUAUUGGGUUGGAGAAAAGGGAGCACAGAAGGCGCAGACGAGAAGAUGGAAAAGUCUUCUAAAUAUAUCUGCCGAGAUUUACCAGUGCAUCUCUGCUCCUGGAGAAUCGCGUUGGUGAGGAGAGGGUGGACAGCGCGGCCCCAGGGUUAGCCCAGCUCCAGUCAGAGAGGUCUCCAGGCAUCGGGGCAUCCUGCCCUUGGACAGGAGACAGGACUCUCCCUCAGCACAACGCAGUCUUCCCCAGGGUGCACCUGUGUGGCGUUGGUGCCACCCCAGGUCUCCUGACCACCUCAGCGACCAUCUGGCCUUGUGGUCCCCCUGUACAGCAGAGUUCUUCCCCACCACCACCACCACUUCCCAGGUCCAGAACACGACUUGCCUAAGGUCACAGGUUCUGUGCCUCGGAACUCUCGCCACAAUCUUCUGUGUGUGCUGGAGGUGGGGACGCGCUCCUCACCAACUGGAGCCGAUUCUACCUUGGAAGGGGGAGCUGGGUCCUGAGCUCCAGGAUCAGGGCAGGGGGCAGUUCCUGGAGACCUCUGAGAGCCCACUGGGCCCCCGGGUGUACAGCUGGGUGGUUCCCUGAGGACAUCAGUCACUGCAAAUGCCCGGGCAGGGCAGAGGCUAAAAAUAUACGUGGCGCACAGGUCCAGGAAGGCUGGCCCUGCCACUCAUUCCUUGGUGUCCUGCCCAAAGUGGAGGGCACUUGUGAAAGGUCUGAGAGGGGGAGCAGUUGUGUGGAGCCUCAGCUUGGCCCGGGAGUCCAUUGGUGUGGUCUGUUCUCCGUGCGAGGGCACACCCCUCCCUGAACAGCACCUCCACCCUAAACAGCUGUCCACAGUGCCCACCCGCUCGGUCAUCACCAAGCCUUAAACUCCUGAGCCUGGGGAUGUAGAGAGGGGAGCUGAGAAGCCGAAAAACCCUGGGCAGGUUGGACUCCCUGCCUCAGUUUCUCCUUUUGCCAGAUUGAGAAGACAGCUGUCCUGCCCAUCUCACUGCUGGAUGUGAGGACCCCAGAAGAUAAUGCCUGUGAUGGGCUUUUGAGAGGCGCUAGGGGCCCGUGCAUGGGAGACGGUGGUCCCUGCAGAGGACCACAGAAGCGGCUGGCCGGCUUUCCACUGUACCCAUGAGCCACGUACCAAGCCCUGUGUGUUCGGAGGACAGCGUCCCUUAUUAAGGACGGGUAUGAAGAUAAGGACCCAGGACCCGGCCUGGGGUUCCAUCGCAGCCCGUGUCCUGUAGCAGGUGAGGGGCACGUGGCCACAGAAGGCCACUUUGUGACUGAUGUGAACCUGAGAAAGAAUGAUGGGCCCAGCCACUGAUUUCACAGGUAUUGCUUAGUAGGAGCAAAACAAAACAGCAGACGCUCACUGGAGCGUUCUCACAGCAGAGCUGGAGACCCCCACGACCCGUGACCUCUAGCAGGAGACUGGGUCAGCCUGGGCACCGCACGUGAGCAGACCGUGGCCGCACAGACAGGGCCACGAGGGAAAGACACACAGAGAACAAAUGCCCUGCACAGAGUCACAGGCCCCCGCAACGUACACAGGCUGUUAGAGGUGAGGAUGGCGGCCCCCCGGGGCCUAAGGGUGAGGAGACCAGCCUGGGCUAGAUGCUCAGCCAGGGUCACACGGCCACUGAGUGGCCAACCUGGGAUUCCGAUCUGAGUCUCAGGCUGCUGACCCGGACACCCUGCCUCGUGGUGCUCCCUGCUCAGCCGCGGGGGAGAUACCAGAUGCGGCUUCUUCCUUCAAGGAACGCACGCUGUACAGGUGCCCCAGCUGCAGACUGUCCUGAGGCUGCAGCUGGGCGCUGUGGGGCGCGUUCCUUCACCUUGUCCUCUCUUGACCCCAUGCAAAGGAUGCAGGAUGCGUCCCAGGGAGUUGCCCCAGUAACCCAAAGGCCUACCCAGGGAGCAUCCUAGGAUGUGAACUCCAAGUCAGCUCCAAGGCUGGGUGCUUGUCUUUGCACCUGCCUGAUGGUGCACGAGCGCCGGCCUGGCAGAACCGCAGCCCCCAGGAAUGGAGUCGUGUAAAUAAAGGAGUGGGGGACUUUCCUGGUGGUCCAGUGGUUAAGACUCCACAUUCCCAACGCAGGGGGCCCAGGUUCGAUCCCUGGUCAGGGAACUAGAUCCCGCAUGUCACAACUAAAAGUCCGCAUGCUGCAACUAAAAGAUCCUGCACGUGGCAACGAAGAUCCGCAUAUUAAAUAUUUAAAAUUAAAUAUUUAAUAUUUUAAAUAUUAAAAUUAAAAAAAUAAAAUAAAGAAGUGGUAGAGACAAUCCAGCCCUCCCAAAGCCUGUGGUCCCCUGGCAGUGCUCGGGAGCCAACGUGAGGACCCCUCGUCUGCGAACUGACAUUCUCACCUGGCGAGAGGCUGGAGUGUGGCUGGAAAGCAUCCUGCCGGGCACAUGGGUGUUUUUGCAAGUGUGAAGGUCCACCCUGUGAACACCAUACACCUUCCCUUCUGUGGCUGCCUUAACCCCCUGAACGCAAAGGCUCGGUGGCCAAGCCUGGGCACCGAGGCAGACGCUUGUCGUGAUGCGGACGCCCUCGGACGGGCGGGGGCGUGUGUGGCAGAAGGGGCAGCAUGCGGGCCGGGCUGAGAAGCGGGCUCUCCUCCAGGAAGAUGCCUCAGUCCAGAGCUGCUUCCAGAUUUUCCAGGAGGUUUCAGCAGCUGGAUGGGGCGGACGGCACCAAAAACACAUUGCCAUGGCUCGUGUUGCUCAUACAAGCGAUCGCAGACCUCCGGAAGUACAUAUUUGUCUUUCCCAAGCAGCAAACAUGAGAACCACCUUUGCCUUGGGAGUCUCCCUGGGUUCGGGGACGUGUUUUCACGAAUGGCGUUUACCACGCUCCCUGGAAUCUCGGGGCCAGCAGUGCCGAGUCUGAUCUCUCUCCGCGCUGGGCUGGACUGAACUCACGCUUAUUCGUUCAUUUAUUUGUUUACUUAGCAACAUUAUUGAGGUAUUAUUUACAUACCAUAACAUUCACCCAUUUAAGGUGUUCAGCUCAGUGGUGUUUAGGGUAGUCACAGAAUUGUGCAGCCAUCACCACUGUGUAAUUCCAGAACAUUCCAAUCACAACUCCCGAAACCCUAGAGCCACUAGCGGUCACUCCCCACCGCCCUGUCCCCCAAGGCCCAGGUAACCACGAUGGAUUUGCCUGUUCUGGACAUUUCCCAUUCAUGGAAUCAUACACUACGUGGUCUUUUGUGACUGGCUCCUUUCACUAUGCAUACGUUUAUGAAUGUUUUCAAGGCUCAUCCAGGUUGCAGCAUGUAUGAGUACUUUGUUUCUUUCUGUAGCUGAAUAACAUUCUGUUGUAUGCUGGUGUUUACGUGUUCAUCGGUUGAUGGACAUUUGGUUUGUUUCCACCUUUCAGCUACUAUGAAUAAUGCUGCUGUAAACAUUGUGUACAAGGCUUUGUGUGGAUGUAUGUUUUCAUUUCCCCCGGUAUAUACCUCGGAGUAGAAUUGCCUGCUCAUAUGGUGAGUCUAUGUUUAACAUUGUGAGAAACCACCAGACGGUCUUCCAAAGUGGCUUCACGUCUUUAUAUUCCCACAGCAACGUGUGAGGGGAGCCUGGUCUUCGUCUGAUGCUGUCUGGGGACAGGGUGUCCACGUCUCAGCAGGGCUGUUCCUUCAUUUGGGGAUGAAAGGCACCUCCCUGCUCAGAGGAGCGCCUUGGCACCAGGCGUCCACGUGCUCUGUCAGCAGUCACCCAAGGGGCCGACUUCCGUACUCAGAUGAGCAGGGCAGAUAGAGGUUUCUUUUACCACAGGCCUUGGGAGAGGACUGGCGGCCUGCUCCUGGGAAAGCCGCACUGGGGUUGCCGCACAAGCAGCCAGCCUUUUAUCCCAGUCAGUCAUGUAGCACAGGGGUCCCCGACCCCCAGGCCGCACAGCAGGAGGUGAGCGGCGGGCGAGUGAGUGAGGCUUCAUCUGCCGCCCCCCAUCACUCCCCAUCGCUCGCAUUACCGCCUGAGCCAUCCCCCCCUCCCCUGCCGUCCGUGGAAAAAUUGUCUUCCGUGAAACCGGUCCCUGGUGCCAAAAAGGUUGGGGACCGCUGAUGUAGCACAGGAGACGCAGGCCUUCAGCCUGGAGUCCCCAGACCUUACAGCUCCAGGUCUUCAGGCCUGCGGUUACCAUCCCUGCCCUGAUACAAGCAGACCUCAGAGAUGUUGUGGGUUCCGUUCCAGACCACCGCAAUAAAGCGGAUAUCACAAUAAAAGAAAAAUAAGGCCCAUGCAGCAAACACCUUGAAGGAGUGCUCAGAGAAAAAACAAGAACAGCAAGUGAAAUUCACAGUUGAGUGUGUGCUGGGCAUCGUGCUGAGCAGUUUACACGCACACGUCUGAUGUUUGAAGCAGCGCUCUGGGUGGGGCUCUAUAAUCAUCCCAUUUUACAGACAGGAGGACGAGGAUGAGGGCAGAAAUACAACUGAGGGGCUUCCCUGGUGGCGCAGUGGUUGAGAAUCUGCCUGCCAAUGCAGGGGACACGGGUUCGAGCCCUGGUCUGGGAAGAUCCCACAUGCCGCGGAGCAACUAGGCCCGUGAGCCACAAUUACUGAGCCUGCGCGUCUGCAGUCUGUGCUCCGCAACAGGAAAGCCUGCGAUAGUGAGAGGCCUGCGCACCGCGAUGAAGAGUGGUCCCCACUUGCCACAACUAGAGAAAGCCCUCGCACAGAAAUGAAGACCCAAC